GUGUGUACGUGGCAGCCAGUUAAAGAAAAACGAAGGUGGUAAACGGUAGCUGCAUUAAAUGUGGUUAAAGGUUGCAUAGGUGUGCAGGUAAGCCAGUGGUGAAAUCCCCGAUCUUAACCUCGGAACUGACAUUGAUACUAUCUUACUUGAAUACUGUUUAGAUAAACAGAAAAUGUCAUGUAGCGGUGAAAUGCUUAAAUAUGACAUAGAACACCAAUUGCGAUAGCAGCUUGCUAUACAAAUAUUGACACUGAGGCACGAAAGCGUGGGGAUCAAAUAGGAAUAGAUACCCGAGUAAUC
This 300-nucleotide ribosomal RNA is filed under the name uncultured bacterium. RNAcentral's name for it is "bacterial SSU rRNA". It matches the Rfam family "Bacterial small subunit ribosomal RNA", at positions 497 to 795 of the family's 1533-position model. The record is from RNAcentral.